This 286-nucleotide unclassified non-coding RNA is filed under the name fungal sp. RNAcentral describes it as "partial internal transcribed spacer region". Lineage: Eukaryota; Fungi. The record is from RNAcentral.
AAGUCGUAACAAGGUUUCCGUAGGUAUGUGAAUAUCAUCUCGAAUCCUUUAAUCUUGAUUUAUGCUAACUAUUUUCUAGGUGAACCUGCGGAAGGAUCAUUACUAGUUUAGGGUACUCAGUGCCCAAACUUCAACCCUAUGAUUUACCAAUCUGUUUCUUUGCCGGGUUCAAGGUCCCCUAAAGACUACUCGGCAAAAGAUUUCUAAAACUCAACUGAUAAAUUGUCAUCUGAAAUUUGAUAAUAAAUCAAGUAUAAAACUUUCAACAACGGAUCUCUUGGUUCUG